UCUCCUACCUCUAUCCGAUCUCCUGCUCGCGUACGCCACCGCUCCGUGCGUAUCUCACAGCCGCGCCCGAUCUCUCCGAUCCCCACGUGGUUCUCAUGCGUCUGCACCACCUCGGGACCCCCAAGCUCUCCUCUUCCGAUUCGCUGCCUCGCCUCGCGGGACAGAGCUCGAAAUUGAGUGCAGCGACCCCGGUGAGCUCCGCCAUCCUAAGCAGCGCCGACGUGAAAUUCUCCCGCCUCGAUUUUAUACGACGAGUGAGUGAUACGAUGUAGGGUUACAAUGUCUAUACUCGACAUUUGUGUGUGGUGUUGAUGGACUUCAUGGAGAUUUUAUUUGCUUUUCUACUAAAUUUUGUUUGUAUGCUAGCUUGAGCUAUGCAGGUAUGUAUUAUAUUAAAUUCUGGAUCUACGAUGUAAUAUUAUGACAUGUGGUUUAUUCUUGAUA
Triticum dicoccoides is the source of this 444-nucleotide long non-coding RNA. RefSeq lists it as uncharacterized. NCBI's taxonomy places the organism in Eukaryota, Viridiplantae, Streptophyta, Magnoliopsida, Poales, Poaceae. The transcript is spliced from 2 exons. The record is from RefSeq and is a predicted model, not a curated record.